Molecule: long non-coding RNA, 1031 nt
Organism: Astatotilapia calliptera (eastern happy)
Lineage: Eukaryota; Metazoa; Chordata; Actinopteri; Cichliformes; Cichlidae
Source: Ensembl
GAAAUUCAAGGAUUCGAGUGAUAAAGUCUCAACAUGAAAGUCCGUCACAUUGUUAUCUGCUUCAUCUUCCUCACACUGCAGGAUGGAAACACUGUUCCUUACAAUGCAAAGAUUGCCAUGCACACAGGAGUGGAAGGAGGAAACAUCACAGUUAAAUGUUCAUUUUAUAUCUUUGGAAAGUGGAAGCUCUUAUUUUUUUAUGUCAGCAUCACACAGCUGGAAAAAUCUGACUCGGGGCUGUACCGGUGCUAUUUGGACAGAGACUUGGAUCCAUAUUUGUUUGAUAGCUUUCAGCUCACGGUGACAGAAGCAUCAACAGCUUCAACACCAGCAUUGGGCCCGCAAUCUUUUUCAACUUCCACAGCAAUCACUAAACAGCCUGAAAUAACAUUUGUAAAUUCAGGUUUUCUCUGGCCUGUGGUUAUAGCUGUAGUCAUGGUGUUUUUGGUGUUGUUUGUUGUUGUGCAUCUCAUCUGCAAAAAGAAGACUACGGACUCUUGUUUGAAGAAACAGAAAAUUAUGAAUUAUGAAAAGAGCGAGAUUGUUCUCUAUGACAAUCUUCUGACGUUGCCACCUGAAGAGUCAGUAUACCAGAGCCUGGAUCCAGCCAGCAGGGAUGAAGACCAAGUGUACCUUACACUUAAACAGACAUGAAAGCACAAAUAAUCCAGCAUUCAGGCCUGAAUUUAUGUGUCACAACAGACACAGAUUGAUACAACAGACAACAUCUUUAAACACUUCUUUAUUCUUCACUUUACUAAAAGAUAACGAUUUUACAGAUUGAGCAUUAUGAUCAUUAUAAUAUUUUGGUUUAAAAUAAUUUCUCUUCUCAUUCUGGUGCAAAAUUAGAGCUCAUCUUAUAUUCAAAGGCACCACCUGGGGGUGCUGUAGGAGUAGUGACAAAUAUCAGGAUUAAAUAACAGCUCAUCAAACUGAUCUGUAAAGUUGCAAAGCAAUAAUAAACAUUUGUAUAUUGGUAUGUCUUCUUUCCAAACAGGUUUUCCAAACUCUGAGAACAUCUGAGAACCAGA